ACGGGUGAGUAACACGUGGGUGAUCUGCCCUGCACUUUGGGAUAAGCCUGGGAAACUGGGUCUAAUACCGAAUAUGACCGCAUUCUUCAUGGGGUGUGGUGGAAAGCUUUUGCGGUGUGGGAUGGGCCCGCGGCCUAUCAGCUUGUUGGUGGGGUAAUGGCCUACCAAGGCGACGACGGGUAGCCGGCCUGAGAGGGUGACCGGCCACACUGGGACUGAGAUACGGCCCAGACUCCUACGGGAGGCAGCAGUGGGGAAUAUUGCACAAUGGGCGCAAGCCUGAUGCAGCGACGCCGCGUGAGGGAUGACGGCCUUCGGGUUGUAAACCUCUUUCAGCACAGACGAAGCGCAAGUGACGGUAUGUGCAGAAGAAGGACCGGCCAACUACGUGCCAGCAGCCGCGGUAAUACGUAGGGUCCGAGCGUUGUCCGGAAUUACUGGGCGUAAAGAGCUCGUAGGUGGUUUGUCGCGUUGUUCGUGAAAUC
Molecule: ribosomal RNA, 485 nt
Filed under: Mycolicibacterium fluoranthenivorans
Lineage: Bacteria; Bacillati; Actinomycetota; Actinomycetes; Mycobacteriales; Mycobacteriaceae
Description: bacterial SSU rRNA
Rfam family: Bacterial small subunit ribosomal RNA
Source: RNAcentral